Molecule: non-coding RNA, 31 nt
Filed under: Mus musculus (house mouse)
Lineage: Eukaryota; Metazoa; Chordata; Mammalia; Rodentia; Muridae
Source: RNAcentral
UGCAUGAAGGAGGAGACUAGAGUCUCUCCAU